This 577-nucleotide ribosomal RNA is filed under the name uncultured organism. Its description in RNAcentral is "bacterial SSU rRNA". It matches the Rfam family "Bacterial small subunit ribosomal RNA", at positions 17 to 639 of the family's 1533-position model. The record is from RNAcentral.
UCCUGGCUCAGGAUGAACGCUGGCGGUCUGCUUACACAUGCAAGUCGAACGGAACCUUCGGGUUUAGUGGCGGACGGGUGAGUAAAGCGUGAGAAUCUGCCUCCAGGUCGGGGACAACAGCGGGAAACUGCUGCUAAUCCCGGAUGAGCCUAAGGGUAAAAGAUUUAUUGCCUGGAGAGGAGCUCGCGUCCGAUUAGCUAGUUGGUGAGGUAAGAGCUUACCAAGGCAACGAUCGGUAGCUGGUCUGAGAGGACGAUCAGCCACACUGGGACUGAGACACGGUCCAGACUCCUACGGGAGGCAGCAGUGGGGAACUUUCCGCAAUGGGCGAAAGCCUGACGGAGCAAGACCGCGUGCGGGAGGAAGGCCCUUGGGUCGUAAACCGCUUUUCUUAGGGAAGAAGCUCUGACGGUACCUAAGGAAUCAGCCUCGGCUAACUCCGUGCCAGCAGCCGCGGUAAUACGGAGGAGGCAAGCGUUAUCCGGAAUUAUUGGGCGUAAAGCGUACGCAGGUGGCGAUUCAAGUCUGCUAGUCCAAGCACGGGGCUUAACUCCGUCUAGGCAGUGGAAACUGAAUA